AGUGAACGCUGGCGGCAGGCCUAAUACAUGCAAGUCGAACGGCAGCACAGCAGAGCUUGCUCUGUGGGUGGCGAGUGGCGGACGGGUGAGGAAUACGUGGGAAUCUGCCCAGUCGUGGGGGAUAACGUAGGGAAACUUACGCUAAUACCGCAUGCGCCCUUCGGGGGAAAGCCGGGGGACCUUCGGGGCCUGGCGCGAUUGGAUGAGCCCACGUCGGAUUAGCUAGUUGGCGGGGUAAAGGCCCACCAAGGCGACGAUCCGUAGCUGGUCUGAGAGGAUGAUCAGCCACACUGGAACUGAGACACGGUCCAGACUCCUACGGGAGGCAGCAGUAGGGAAUAUUGGACAAUGGGCGCAAGCCUGAUCCAGCCAUGCCGCGUGAGUGAAGAAGGCCCUCGGGUUGUAAAGCUCUUUUGUCCGGAAAGAAAAGCGCCGGGUUAAUACCCUGGUGUCCUGACGGUACCGGAA
Molecule: ribosomal RNA, 468 nt
Filed under: uncultured bacterium
Lineage: Bacteria
Description: bacterial SSU rRNA
Rfam family: Bacterial small subunit ribosomal RNA
Source: RNAcentral